CCUAUGUGCCUUAUCUUUCGCGGAACGAAGCUUAUUUCCGGAAAUUUGUUGUUACAAAUUUAUGUACACAAUACCAAAUAUGGAGGCAGUAACUAAGGGCACGCUAAGUAACAGCUGUACCUAAACAUCAUUUCGUAUGUCAACAGAAGCUAGCUUGAAAUGAUUCACCAGUUCACCAAUUCAACUCGGCUAGCUUUACUUCUUAAUUGAGAAUUUGGAGUGAUACAAAUUGAAACUGUCUUCGAUAAUGUCGGAGAAGUAUCAAAGAAUUCAAAUGCUCUUGUCAUAAUUACUGCAAGAUACACUAAACUUCGAAUUACUUCUUCUACAAUCGUCAAGUCUGAACUGCUGGGAAAGUAUCGUGUUCGAUUCUAGCGAAGGCUUAAGUUUCGUAAACUCACUGCUUGCAAUGGAUAUUGCAAAGACGCUGCCCAUUGACCCGCUGUGUGUCACAACAGUCGGUUCGUAGUCGACGAUAUCACGACUUCAAAACCCGUUCGUUCUCCAAAUCUGGUGGCACCGUCUCCGAGAUGUCUUCAGAGUUAUCUCCUCGGUUGGCCGUUAUUCAGGCUUCAGGUUUAACAUGUGUACAUUGUUUUAAGGAUUGGGGAACAUGUUUCAGGAUGAUGCAAGUUUCUUUGGGAUUUCCUUUGCUUCUAGUGGCUACCUGCGCUGCAGAUCUAAGAAUGCAACAAAACAAUCUUGAUCAAUGGGGCCGGCAAUUCCGAGCGGGUAAGAUGGGCCCAUCUUGCCCGCUUAGGCAGCCAAUCAGAACACAGGAUUCGCUUCAUCUUGCCCACGGGCGCUGCGAGCGAUGUAAUAAGUAUCAGUAAAAAAAAAACUAAGCACAUUAAGCUUCAAUCGCUAACUAAGAAAUAUAGGAAAUAUUAAAGCUAAGGAGCCGAUAACAAACACAAACGCAACUACCCGAUGAGAUAGGAGAAAACAAAACUGACCAAAUCGCACGUUGACGCUCGAUGGCAUAGUUUUAGUUUUGCAUCUGUUUAACUCCGAGAAUUGCUCAACUUUGUUAGGCUAAUUAUAGAGCAAAGUGAAGCAAUACUAACCAAUCCCGAGUAGUCCCGGGUUCACUGAAUUUUGCUCAGCCCUAUGCAAAGAUCUGUAUUUUCAAUCAAUUUACUGAAGAUGUCGCGCUAUAAUUUACCUGGCUAUUUCCUGUCUCCAAUAUUUUAACUCCAUUCCUCCAAAGGUAUGCUCAAUGGGCUGAUCCCUCUGACCUACUGAGCUCACUGCAUUAGCACUGACAUUAUUUGGCAGCUGGGUAUAUGGAGACAUGACUUGUACCUCUGAUUGUCUCGUUUCCUGCACGGGAUAGCUAAAAGCAAAAGACUGUUACUCACCACAGUAUAAUGUUUUAAUUUUUGGUAGUAAAACCGUUAGAGCGUAAAAUGCAGUUGAUUUAUCAUUAAGUCGCUGGAUAUUUCCGAAAAUCAUGACUCAAAUGUAUUUAUAAAUUCUUUCGCCUUGUCCUCGUCCAACAUUCAUAGUGAGUUACGCCAUACAUACUCUAGAACACUGCAAACAAUCUUUGUGUUUUGUUUUUGUUACGUCUGUUUGUUUGCUGGUUUUUAUUUUUUGUUCUCCAAUGAUUUACCUCUUUAAAGACAAAGAGCUAAGUGAAUUAUCACGUCAGUUCUUAAUUCUAUCGAGGAUUUAUUGCAUUGAUACCAGAAAUCGUAUUAAAGCAACAAAUCAGCAUAAAAUCGUUUCACCAUAAUGAUACAUGCUGUUGAAAAAUACAGUAAAACUUGCCGCAUGGAAUUAUGUAUGUAUGUAAAAUCAUACGAACAAGCCUGGGUACGUUUAAUCGCUUAUUUCGAUAUAAAUAAGUAAAUUGUAUCUAGCAAGAUAGUUCUUAUCAAAAGUUGUUUUGAAAUGUGUGCAACCUAACUACGCUCUCAGAUAUUAACAUUCAUUUAGCUCAUGCAGAUCGAAAUAGAUUGACAGCUGUGCAAAAGAUCGGUUUUAAUUGGCUCACGGCAUCUCAAGAGGUGUGUUCGGAGGUGGGUCGAGGAUCAAGAUAUAAGACGCGAAUAUAUCUAAAUGCGUUGGUCAAGCAAACUUUCUUGUGGAAUGGAUUAUAGCGCGAAUAUGGUCGUAUUUUUCGAGACCUCAACUAAUAACUGAAUUAAUGAAAAGUUAAAUUUAUUUGAUAAUAGACCAGUUGUCACAAUUAUCAGCGAUCCGAAAGGGCUCACCCAUUUUGAGUUUUUUCUCCGGCAAAAGUUUUUACAACAGUUCAACCUGUGCUACAAAAUUGCUUAGUGGAAAAACAAACUAAAUGAAGAAUAUGAGAACAGAGUCUCAGAAGCUUUCGUUUGUGCGGAAAUAGCCAGGUUAAGCCAAAGAUAGAUAUAACAAUAAAAGCGACCAAAAGUUCCAUAUAUUCAGGCGAAUUGUUUGGAUAUCAUAAUCUGACAAAUGUUAGCAGGACAGAUUUCGAUACACCACAAUCAACAUACCUUAAAAUUUCUUUAUAAUUUUUUUUAUCUAUUUUUUUUAGUGGUUCAACUACGAUAAAGAAAAACUAAUAUUCGAAUUAAGAUAUGCAGCAUUGAAGACUAGUUGACUUUUAUAGUCCUAGGUUACUCUCUUUCUCGUGACGGACAUGAUUUUUAAUCCUUAUUUUUUAUUUUAUGUGGCUUUACAUAUAAUUCUUCCCAAUAAUCUUGAAACCCUUAGAAUUAAGUGCUCGGCACUAAUCAAGUUAGCUUGAAGUUUCUUUGUUGCCACUUAAAGGUCUUUAAAUGGUCAAGUUACGUCAAUUUGUUGCGUCCAGAGCCAAUACGAGAAGGAAAAUAAUUGAUAUAGAAAUAUCAUGCUUGAGUUGCCUUUUAAGUCUUUUCUACCCUACCGCCUCUGUAAAAGCCCAGAGCUUUCGCCUUAAUUCACCGUAGACAAAAUUAUUUGAUGAAGUGAUGUUGUAACAAUAAGAGCGCAGUGCGAUUGUACUGUCAAUAAAUGUGAAAAACUCGCAAGCAAAACCGCAGCCGUGGAUGCACUUCAAGUAGCUAACAGUCAGAAACAUAGCUCCGUCAGCCCGGUGAAAGCCGCCAUCUUUGCGGACGAGAUAUCAAGAACAAUAGUACGUUACAAAUGCAAAAUGGGAUUUAUGAUCAAUUCAAAGGUAAAGGUCAAUUUUCCACAAUGCAUCUGAACCUAGACUAAUUUGAAGUCACGCGCACAAUAUGAAUGACGAGAAGAAACAAACCUUCGACAAAGGCGAAAGUUUUUAACGGCGUAAUCCAAAUUAGGACAAAAAUUUGGUAAUGAAAACAAACUAAGAAUAAUCGAGCUCUCUUUCAAUUGCAACUUACCUCAUCAUGAAGCCCUCUUUCACAGAUUCUGCAGACAAAAUUUUAUUCAAGUGUCCAUUCGAAUGACUUCUGCGGCGUAACUUGUCCACACCUGCGGGAGUGUGGUGUUAACUAAUGCGAUGUUUACAUGGCGAGUCUUCUAUCUACACGUCCGCUAUCGCAAAUUCCGUAAAACCGGAAAUCUUUUGCUUUCUGACACCGUGGGCGUUACUGGCCCACGCACGUUUUGUUUACAAUUGUUUUCUGUCCUUGACUCUUAUCAAUUUUCAGCCUGUGGUACGAUCACUUUUCAGUUGACCGAAUAUCCUUCUGAAAAAAUCUUAAAUAAUUUUAUUUCUGGAACUUUUUGUCUGUGAGCAUUUCAAGUAAGUACUGAAAAUUAUCGUAAGUUAAACUGUCAAAGUGAAACAUAAUAGUCCUAAGAUGUGGAUAAUAUUUUUUUUGCAGAUCGUUGACCAAGGCAAAAUAGAAAAUAAAGUGAAAAUUCACUUUAUUGGAAAUUCAAGUGAUUUUGAUAAAUGGAGAGAUGGAGAUGACUUAGUUGAAAGAGAAAAAAGUAGUCUUGGUCGCUUGGUACCACGAUUCAUGCCAAGUGAAGAUUCCUUGUCUGACAGGGCUUCACCUUUAUUCCACCGCCUCAGCCGGGAAAUGAAGUUUAGUCUAUUUUCAACCAAAAGGGAGACACCGGAGGGUUCGGAUUGAGAUGCAUAUUGACAUGGAUAUCUAUAAAACAUAUUUAAAAAUAUGGUAUUUGUAACAAAAAAGUCAAGAGGAAGAGAAGUACAUUGUGUUGACGAUAACUCUCAUUUGUGCGAUCUGCUUGGUAGUACGUGGUUUGAGAGAAUUCAAAAUGCAAAUGGCGACUUUUGUUAUGUCAUUCCUGUAACUGUAAGAUUUUGGCUGCAUGAAAAAAAGCCUGUGAAAGAGUUUGUUUAUGUCGGCGAUACUCUUGUAGAAAGCCACACUGAAAAUGACUUGCAAAUGAGUCAUUUUUACAUUGAUGACAUGUAGUCGUUUGCCAAUACUGGUACCAUCCCCAGAUGGUUUAACUCGAAUCUUAUGAUUUUCUUUGAAAGCAGCAUUAGAAGGAAUAUUUUUCAUAGGAGUCUGCAACCUUACUUCUAGUCAUUCCUUAAUGCUCUGCUGAAUCCCAUAAGUAUUAUUGGGAGUACUUGACAGAUUCCGUGUACUAUUUAAAGCCUUUAUCCUCUCCUUGACUUUCCAUGACCGAGGUAGUUCCUUGCAAAUCAUAGAAAGUUCAUGGUAGGCUUCGUUUGAUAUAUUAAAUCUUUCCUUUGUGUACAGCAGUAAAUUUAUGUCAUCAAUCUCCUCAUCAGUGAGUGUCUCGACUCGAGAUGACUUUUGAAUGUUAUUGCGUUAUCAACCAAUGUGAGAGUCUCAUACUCUUGAAUGUUCUCAUGGAAAAUUUCAACUUUAGUGGCAACAAAAUCAUGAAGUCCAAUAAAUGAAAGUGAAGUUUCA
Molecule: long non-coding RNA, 4820 nt
Filed under: Stylophora pistillata
Lineage: Eukaryota; Metazoa; Cnidaria; Anthozoa; Scleractinia; Pocilloporidae
Description: uncharacterized LOC111335672
Source: RNAcentral